CUGUGAGCUGCCUUCUGUAAUUGUGUAUUUGUAUAUUUGCUAUCCAAUGCUUGGAUCUGGUAUUAUAUGGUACAUUAUUCAUUCAUUCAUAACACAAGGGUUAAUACCUUUCUGCUUUUGUUGUCAGGGGGAAAGGGGAAAGCUACGUGCUUUAGGCAAGAGGCCCCGGGGCUUACACCACCCGCAGGAUAAUCUUUUUGUAUAUAAACAUUAGUUGCAACCCUGGCAGUGGCAAACGAUCAUGGGAGCAAAUAAUAAUAAUAAAAAAAAAACA
This is a long non-coding RNA of Osmerus eperlanus (European smelt), 274 nucleotides long. RefSeq lists it as uncharacterized. The transcript is spliced from 3 exons. Lineage: Eukaryota; Metazoa; Chordata; Actinopteri; Osmeriformes; Osmeridae. The record is from RefSeq and is a predicted model, not a curated record.